RNAcentral lists this ribosomal RNA (253 nucleotides) under uncultured bacterium. Its description in RNAcentral is "partial 16S ribosomal RNA". It matches the Rfam family "Archaeal small subunit ribosomal RNA", at positions 474 to 727 of the family's 1478-position model. The record is from RNAcentral.
UACCAGCACCCCGAGUGGUCGGGACGAUUAUUGGGCCUAAAGCAUCCGUAGCCGGUCAUGCAAGUCUUCCGUUAAAUCCAGCCGCUCAACGGUUGGGCUGCGGAGGAUACUACGUGGCUAGGAGGCGGGAGAGGCAAGCGGUACUCAGUGGGCAGGGGUAAAAUCCUUUGAUCCAUUGAAGACCACCAGUGGCGAAGGCGGCUUGCCAGAACGCGCUCGACGGUGAGGGAUGAAAGCUGGGGGAGCAAACCGG